AAGCUCGUAGUUGAAUUUCGGGACCAAUAUGUCGGUCGUGCCUCGGUAUGUACUGGCAUCGUUGGUCUCUCCCUUCUGACGAACCAUGAUGUCAUUUAUUUGGUGUCGUGGGGAAUCAGGACUGUUACUUUGAAAAAAUUAGAGUGUUUAAAGCAGGCUCACGCUUGAAUACAUUAGCAUGGAAUAAUGAAGUAGGACGUUUGAUUCUAUUUUGUUGGUUUCUAGGAUCGACGUAAUGAUUAAUAGGAUAGUUGGG
Molecule: ribosomal RNA, 256 nt
Filed under: uncultured Glomus
Lineage: Eukaryota; Fungi; Glomeromycota; Glomeromycetes; Glomerales; Glomeraceae
Description: partial 18S ribosomal RNA
Rfam family: Eukaryotic small subunit ribosomal RNA
Source: RNAcentral